AGGACGAACGCUGGCGGCGUGCCUAAUACAUGCAAGUCGGACGGCUUUCUAUGGAAGCUUGCUUCCACUGAGAAGAUAGUGGCGAACGAGUGAGUAACACGUGGGUAACCUGCCCAUAAGAGGGGGAUAACAUCCGGAAACGGGUGCUAAUACCGCAUAGUUUUCUUGAUCGCAUGAUCGGGAAAGGAAAGACGGCCUUUGUGCUGUCGCUUAUGGAUGGACCCGCGGCGUAUUAGUUAGUUGGUGAGGUAACGGCUCACCAAGACGAUGAUACGUAGCCGACCUGAGAGGGUGAUCGGCCACAUUGGGACUGAGACACGGCCCAAACUCCUACGGGAGGCAGCAGUAGGGAAUCUUCCGCAAUGGACGAAAGUCUGACGGAGCAACGCCGCGUGAGUGAAGAAAAGGGUUUUCGGAUCGUAAAACUCUGUUGUCAGAGAAGAACAAGUUGGAGAGUAACUGCUCCAGCCUUGACGGUAUCUGACCAGAAAGCCACGGCUAACUACGUGCCAGCAGCCGC
RNAcentral lists this ribosomal RNA (520 nucleotides) under uncultured bacterium. Its description in RNAcentral is "bacterial SSU rRNA". It matches the Rfam family "Bacterial small subunit ribosomal RNA", at positions 26 to 518 of the family's 1533-position model. The record is from RNAcentral.